Non-coding RNA from Aedes aegypti (yellow fever mosquito), 73 nucleotides. Lineage: Eukaryota; Metazoa; Arthropoda; Insecta; Diptera; Culicidae. The record is from Rfam.
CCUCUCGUGAUGUAGGGAUAACGCGCCCUAUCUGGUGAACAGGGAGUCGUGAGUUCGAUUCUCACCGAGAAGA